GAAUGCCCAGUUAGUUUGAAUUUCAAGAUAAACAACAAACAAAUUUUUAGUAUAAAAGUGUUUAUAAAAUGUUUGGGACAUAUUUAUACUAAAAUUGUUUGUUAAUAACAUUUAACUGGGAAGUCUGUAUUUUCAUUUU
This 139-nucleotide microRNA precursor is filed under the name Chlorocebus sabaeus (green monkey). RNAcentral's name for it is "miRNA (ENSCSAG00000023949.1)". The record is from RNAcentral. Lineage: Eukaryota; Metazoa; Chordata; Mammalia; Primates; Cercopithecidae.